This 497-nucleotide ribosomal RNA is filed under the name uncultured bacterium. RNAcentral describes it as "partial 16S ribosomal RNA". It matches the Rfam family "Bacterial small subunit ribosomal RNA", at positions 28 to 507 of the family's 1533-position model. The record is from RNAcentral.
GAUGAACGCUGGCGGCGUGCCUAAUACAUGCAAGUCGAGCGAACAGACGAGGAGCUUGCUCCUCUGACGUUAGCGGCGGACGGGUGAGUAACACGUGGAUAACCUACCUAUAAGACUGGGAUAACUUCGGGAAACCGGAGCUAAUACCGGAUAAUAUACUGAACCGCAUGGUUCAAUAGUGAAAGACGGCUUUGCUGUCACUUAUAGAUGGAUCCGCGCCGCAUUAGCUAGUUGGUAAGGUAACGGCUUACCAAGGCAACGAUGCGUAGCCGACCUGAGAGGGUGAUCGGCCACACUGGAACUGAGACACGGUCCAGACUCCUACGGGAGGCAGCAGUAGGGAAUCUUACGCAAUGGGCGAAAGCUUGACGGAGCAACGCCGCGUGAGUGAUGAAGGUCUUCGGAUCGUAAAGCUCUGUUAUUAGGGAAGAACAAAUGUGUAAGUAACUAUGCACGUCUUGACGGUACCUAAUCAGAAAGCCACGGCUAACUACGUG